GACGAACGCUGGCGGCGUGCUUAACACAUGCAAGUCGAACGGAAAGGCCCUGCUUUUGUGGGGUGCUCGAGUGGCGAACGGGUGAGUAACACGUGAGUAACCUGCCCUUGACUUUGGGAUAACUUCAGGAAACUGGGGCUAAUACCGGAUAGGAGCCCCUGCUGCAUGGUGGGGGUUGGAAAGUUUCGGCGGUUGGGGAUGGACUCGCGGCUUAUCAGCUUGUUGGUGGGGUAGUGGCUUACCAAGGCUUUGACGGGUAGCCGGCCUGAGAGGGUGACCGGCCACAUUGGGACUGCGGUACGGCCCAGACUCCUACGGGAGGCAGCAGGGGGGAAUAUUGCACAAUGGGCGGAAGCCUGAUGCAGCAACGCCGCGUGCGGGAUGACGGCCUUCGGGUUGUAAACCGCUUUCGCCUGUGACGAAGCGUGAGUGACGGUAAUGGGUAAAGAAGCACCGGCUAACUACGUG
This 468-nucleotide ribosomal RNA is filed under the name uncultured bacterium. Its description in RNAcentral is "partial 16S ribosomal RNA". It matches the Rfam family "Bacterial small subunit ribosomal RNA", at positions 28 to 507 of the family's 1533-position model. The record is from RNAcentral.